UCAGCUACAACGGUGAGGUGUUGCGGUGGUGGCGGUGCGAGGCUACUUGGACGUUGCUGCCCAAUUCCUUCGUGUGUAGAGAUGUGCGAUGAUCGGAUGAAAAUCUUGCACAACUUUUUCCAGGCCGGCGGCAAUGGCACCCGUGGGUGUCAUUCCCCUCCUUGGAGGCGUCGUCAAGGUGUGAUCGACAUCUCUCCCUCGCUAGUGUGGAGUUGAUUGUUGUCUCCGGGCGAAAGCUUCGAUUUGGUGUAGGAUUGACACGAUUGCGGUCUCCUCGGCGUCGCUUCUUUGUCGGGAGCAUCGUGUUUGGCGACACGGCUUUGUUCCUCAUUGCUUUCCUCCGGUGUUCGCCAUGGUCCUAGAUUGAUCCUCGACGGCGCUAUGUACGAUCGUCGCCGGUAUGUCCAAGGUGGUCUCUUCCUCGGAGCGGAUCAAGUCCUGUCAUUCACUUACUAUCUCCUCUUAGACAUUCAGGGUGGAUGGUGCGUUGACAAACAAAAUUCAAUGGGAGCUAGUGGUCUUCGGAGGUGCCCGGCGUUGGUCGACACGGUGUUGUUCUCAGUUAGGGCAUGUGCUUCUUUGUAGUUUUGUUUCGUCGUUGGUAGUUGUGUUUGGUCUUACUUGAGUGUGGUGUUUGUGCUACGCUCGUUGUUCACAAUGAGUGGCAAUAUUCUUGUACUUAUAAUUCUACCUUCUAUAAAGCUACAGUAUGCCUAGGUGUACUCUCGAAAAGAAAACAUGAGCGAUUUUUUAUAUAGUGCAAUUUUUCAGCACCCUUACUAUUUGUUUGGUUUGCUCGAAUAUCUCAUGGAACCCAUCACUAAUAACGAAAUAAGAAAUAAAUUAGUCAUCAGCAAUCUCUCGAGAAAGAAAAACAUGUUUGGCUCCUAGCAACAUACUAUUUGGAGGCAUAUGUAAGUGAUGGUGCAUCCUAAUAUAAAACACCGUCUCAUACAAUUUUUGCUCAGUUGUCAUGCGUAGAUUGCCUUUCUUAAAAAACAGAAGUCUUCACGAGAGAAGCGGUAUGUGUUUCUGUUUGCGGUUUGCUUCAUUCUAUUCAUCUUGGGUCUCUCUCUGAUAGCUAUGGCGAUGCCGGGUUUCAGGAGGAUUUCUCAAGUGAGAUGAAUGGAUCACGGGCAAUACAAGAGGCAUGAUGUCUUCAAUCCCUUGAGUGGAUCAUAGGCAAUAAAUAAAUGGCUGGCUAUCCAAUAUGUAGGACUUGUAGAGCUUGAAAAAGCUUGUUUUUUUUUCUGGUGAAAAGUGACUAAAAACUUAAAGAUCAGAACACUUUCUGUAAUUCCUCAGCUUCCGUGCGGGAUCUGCAUCCUCAACGUAGAGUAACUUUGCUUAUUGCACCUCUUACCAUAUCUGGCUCCGUGCUGGUUGAGUUGAGCUUAACUUUUCGACUUCAGAAAUAUCUAUUGUUGGGAAUCGAUAACUCCGGAACGACCUGUAUUUUUACAUCUCGUCCCGAACGCGUCCGGACCACUUGAUCAAAACUCACAUAUCUUAAAGAUAGCACCUGCCACAUCAUCCAGAGUCGAGCGUUCGGAGAAGCGGUCGUCGCGACCGAACGCCACUCCCCACCCACAGCACGCAGCCCCACUCCCCUAUCCAUUCUUCCCACUCCCCUCCCCACUCCCUUUCUCACAUCCCGAAUCCUCAUCGCCGGCGACCUGGAGACCCGAGCGAGGCGGAGGCCGACCGCGGGCAGGUUGCCACGAUGCUCGGCGACGCAAAGCACCAGCUGGUGUUCUACGGAUCUGCGCCGCCCGGCUCGAGCUGCCGUCGUGGGCGGAGGCCGUGGGCCGCGGCGGCCGCCGAGCAGCCUCCAUCUUCCCUUCCCGCCGUCGCCGAGCUGGCCAUCCUCGACGCCAUCGGAGUCCUCCGUCGCCGAGCUGACCGUCCCCACCGCCAUCAGAGGCCUCCGGCCCGGGCUGCUCGACCCUCUCGAUAAGGCUGCCAUUGCGGGUAGAGCCCCUUUCGGCUCCGGCGGUGAUCCCCUUUGACGCUGUGCGAGAGGAGUCUCCUCGGCUCCGGCGGCAAUCCAACAAGCGACAGCCAUGGCGGGGUUGCAGCUGCGCGCGGUGCUGCUCGCGACGGCCAGCGAAAUCGCGGCUUCCGUCCUAGAGCUCCAUCUCCGCCGUUUCGCCUUACAAAAGCGCGACGCGGAGGUUCCGACAUGGCUUCCUUCAUCGACAGCUGACAGCCAUCCAUGGCCCAGUGCCCUCCGUCCGGGGAAGAUGUUGGUGCUCGCGUAGGCAGCGUGCUAGAGGAUGAGGUGCUGCUCGGACAAUAUCUGGGGAGGUCGGCGGCUUCCUCUUCCAUUUCCCCCAGGAUCGAGCCAGCAGGAGCUGCUACUGCUGCUCGUGUGGAAAAAGGCCGGCCCUGUUGAUGGGGGCGUUCGCGCUGGGGCGUUCUCCUCCGGAACGAGUUGUACUCGUUCGAUCGAUCCCGCUUCCGUCCGGAACGAAAAGUUCGAUCUGGCGCGCUCCAGACCGACGGUCGCGCCUUAUCGGUGUCCCUAUUGUUUGCUCUGGUAGUGCUGUCAUCCUUCCGGACAUGCAAGACAUCUCUGGGCUCUGUUGUACCCUGAGUUACAACUUACAAACUUUGUGCGAUGUAACCGUUUGCAUUUACUAGUUUGAUCAAUGCGAGUCUCAGUCAAAUAUUUACUA
Long non-coding RNA from Aegilops tauschii subsp. strangulata, 2678 nucleotides. RefSeq lists it as uncharacterized. The record is from RefSeq and is a predicted model, not a curated record. Lineage: Eukaryota; Viridiplantae; Streptophyta; Magnoliopsida; Poales; Poaceae.